Long non-coding RNA from Triticum aestivum (bread wheat), 1006 nucleotides. RefSeq lists it as uncharacterized. The transcript has 3 exons. Lineage: Eukaryota; Viridiplantae; Streptophyta; Magnoliopsida; Poales; Poaceae. The record is from RefSeq and is a predicted model, not a curated record.
AAAUCUGGGACAUCUUUCGUGGUUCGAAACGGCACAGGUGAAAGAAUCCCAUGCGCCUACAUUACCCCACCCCCCACUCCUGGACAGCUUUCCCCUCCCCAUCCCCUUCUCUUCCACAGACCCGGAGUGCGGCGGCUCUGCUCCGGCGAUCUGUCCAUCGACGGCCUCGAGAUCGAUGGGGGCCUUGCCGUGCCGGCUGGAUGGAGUGGUUCUGUCCUCCAAGUGGAGUCCCAGGAUUCCAUGGGUGCAGCAGAUGCGGCCGACAAAGCACAGGCAGACGGAGGUGCGGCCAUAUAGGAGGUGUGUUCUGAAGCUACGAGUGGCUGGACACGAAGCCACCGUUUCAGGGAUAGGAUGGGGAAAGCUCCUGACGAGAGGGAGAUGAAGCCUGACAAGAAAACAGCACUGGAAUUGUCUGUGCGCGCUUAUGCUGAGAAAGGAGCUGGUCAUGUUGUCAAUCCAGCAAUUGGCACAUCUUUUGACUCGUUAGAUGAGGCUUAUGAGUUCUACAACCUUUAUUCCUGGGAAUGUGGUUUUGGAGUUCGGCUAUGUUGCUCGGAAAAGGUGCAUGCAAGAGAUUGUUUGUGAUUGUGCGGUAGGUGAUCGCAAAGUGCAUUAUGUUUGAUGCCAUAAUGUUUGAUGGACUGUUUGAGCCUAACUUCCUCUAGAUUAAAUUAGUUGUGACUUGUGAGGUUUGAUCGCAAAGUGCAUUAUGUUGCCAGGAAAGGAAUGCUAGGAUCUUUGAACACACCGCCAGUAUCGUCGACAGAGUUUUGGACCAGAUUAGAGAAGAUCUUCAAGUCUGGAGGGCAGCGGGGUGUGUUCUGGAUCUUACUUUGUAAAAGCCUCUUAUAAAAGCCUCUUGUAAUUGGGGUGUUCUAUCCUGGGGGUGGCGCCCUCGGGAGGUCUUUCAGUGCGAGACCGCCUAGCCUGUCUGACCUUGUUGUACUCUUCUCCUCUUUCUAAUAAAAUUCGGCCAACGGCCCUUCGAGGUUUGAUGCCAUCA